Molecule: non-coding RNA, 21 nt
Filed under: Caenorhabditis elegans
Lineage: Eukaryota; Metazoa; Nematoda; Chromadorea; Rhabditida; Rhabditidae
Source: RNAcentral
UUUUCCCAUAAAUCUUGCCAG